This 251-nucleotide ribosomal RNA is filed under the name uncultured bacterium. RNAcentral's name for it is "partial 16S ribosomal RNA". It matches the Rfam family "Bacterial small subunit ribosomal RNA", at positions 15 to 257 of the family's 1533-position model. The record is from RNAcentral.
GAUCUGGCUCAGGAUGAACGCUAGCUACAGGCUUAACACAUGCAAGUCGAGGGGCAGCAUUUUAGUUUGCUUGCAAACUAAAGAUGGCGACCGGCGCACGGGUGAGUAACACGUAUCCAACCUGCCGAUAACUCGGGGAUAGCCUUUCGAAAGAAAGAUUAAUAUCCGAUGGUAUAUUUUCUCCGCAUGGUGAGAAUAUUAAAGAAUUUCGGUUAUCGAUGGGGAUGCGUUCCAUUAGUUUGUUGGCGGGG